CCCUUAGAUGUUCUGGGCCGCACGCGCGCUACACUGACUGCUCCAACAAGUUACCUGGGCUGACAGGCAUCCGGGAAAUCUUGCAAAGGCAGUCGUGAUGGGGAUAGAUUCUUGUAAUUUUUGAUCUUCAACGAGGAAUUCCUAGUAAACGCAAGUCAUCAGCUUGCAUUGAUUACGUCCCUGCCCUUUGUACACACCGCCCGUCGCAUCUACCGAUUGAAUGGAGAGGCAAAAUCUUCGGACCGUGACGCUUGGGAGUCAAAUCUCGGGCUGUCGUGGGAAGUGGAUUAAACCUUUCUAUUUAGAGGAAGGUAAAGUCGUAACA
RNAcentral lists this ribosomal RNA (325 nucleotides) under uncultured eukaryote. RNAcentral describes it as "partial 18S ribosomal RNA". It matches the Rfam family "Eukaryotic small subunit ribosomal RNA", at positions 1470 to 1796 of the family's 1831-position model. The record is from RNAcentral.